UUCAAUACUAUUUAAGCAAUUAAAUAGUGUGCACUUCUCUUUUAGUAAGACGUUGUGAUCCAUUAGGAAUUGAUUGUUCAAACAAUUAUUGAGCUACCAAUAGACUGAUAUUGAAGUUCAUAAUGAUAAAUAAUAUAAUCUAUAUGUUUAUAUAUAUUAUCUUGUGAGCAUAUCAUGUACUGAUGUAGCUGCCUUAUGGAUUUUAAAGGUUAUAACAUUAAUAUGAAUAUAUUAUCCGUUUUU
This 243-nucleotide ribosomal RNA is filed under the name Apsectrotanypus sp. FNQ12.1T1. RNAcentral's name for it is "partial large subunit ribosomal RNA". The record is from RNAcentral. Lineage: Eukaryota; Metazoa; Arthropoda; Insecta; Diptera; Chironomidae.